UACGAAGGGGGCUAGCGUUGCUCGGAAUCACUGGGCGUAAAGGGUGCGUACGCGGGUCUUUAAGUCAGGGGUGAAAUCCUGGAGCUCAACUCCAGAACUGCCUUUGAUACUGAAGAUCUUGAGUUCGGGAGAGGUGAGUGGAACUGCGAGUGUAGAGGUGAAAUUCGUAGAUAUUCGCAAGAACACCAGUGGCGAAGGCGGCUCACUGGCCCGAUACUGACGCUGAGGCACGAAAGCGUGGGGAGCAAACAGG
This 253-nucleotide ribosomal RNA is filed under the name uncultured bacterium. RNAcentral describes it as "partial 16S ribosomal RNA". It matches the Rfam family "Bacterial small subunit ribosomal RNA", at positions 524 to 776 of the family's 1533-position model. The record is from RNAcentral.